This 302-nucleotide ribosomal RNA is filed under the name uncultured bacterium. RNAcentral's name for it is "partial 16S ribosomal RNA". It matches the Rfam family "Bacterial small subunit ribosomal RNA", at positions 508 to 807 of the family's 1533-position model. The record is from RNAcentral.
GCAGUCGCCGCGGUAAUACGUAGGUGGCAAGCGUUGUCCGGAAUUAUUGGGCGUAAAGGGCUCGCAGGCGGUUUCUUAAGUCUGAUGUGAAAGCCCCCGGCUCAACCGGGGAGGGUCAUUGGAAACUGGGAAACUUGAGUGCAGAAGAGGAGAGUGGAAUUCCACGUGUAGCGGUGAAAUGCGUAGAGAUGUGGAGGAACACCAGUGGCGAAGGCGACUCUCUGGUCUGUAACUGACGCUGAGGAGCGAAAGCGUGGGGAGCGAACAGGAUUAGAUACCCCUGUAGUCCCUGUCUCUUAUAC